RNAcentral lists this ribosomal RNA (488 nucleotides) under uncultured bacterium. Its description in RNAcentral is "bacterial SSU rRNA". It matches the Rfam family "Bacterial small subunit ribosomal RNA", at positions 30 to 534 of the family's 1533-position model. The record is from RNAcentral.
AUUGAACGCUGGCGGUAGGCCUAACACAUGCAAGUCGAACGCGAAAGUCCUUCGGGAUGAGUAGAGUGGCGGACGGGUGAGUAACGCGUAGGAAUCUAUCCUGUAGUGGGGGAGUAACGUUUCGGAAGGAACGCUAAUACCGCAUACGCCCCAAGGGGGAAAGCGGGGGAGUCUUCGGACCUCGUGCUAUAGGAGGAGCCUGCGUCGGAUUAGCUAGUUGGUGAGGUAAUGGCUCACCAAGGCUACGACGGGUAGGGGACCUGAGAGGGUGACCCCCCACAAUGGAACUGAAACACGGUCCAUACACCUACGGGUGGCAGCAGUAGGGAAUAUUGCACAAUGGGCGAAAGCCUGAUGCAGCAACGCCGCGUGUGCGAUGAAGGCCCUCGGGUCGUAAAGCACUUUUCUGAGAGAUGAGCAAGGACAGUUAUCUCAGGAAUAAGUCUCGGCUAACUACGUGCCAGCUAGCCGCGGUAAAGUAGUCGUGU